This is a transfer RNA of 61 nucleotides. It matches the Rfam family "tRNA", at positions 6 to 65 of the family's 71-position model. Rfam says of the family: Transfer RNA (tRNA) molecules are approximately 80 nucleotides in length. Their secondary structure includes four short double-helical elements and three loops (D, anti-codon, and T loops). Further hydrogen bonds mediate the characteristic L-shaped molecular structure. tRNAs have two regions of fundamental functional importance: the anti-codon, which is responsible for specific mRNA codon recognition, and the 3' end, to which the tRNAs corresponding amino acid is attached (by aminoacyl-tRNA synthetases). tRNAs cope with the degeneracy of the genetic code in two manners: having more than one tRNA (with a specific anti-codon) for a particular amino acid; and 'wobble' base-pairing, i.e. permitting non-standard base-pairing at the 3rd anti-codon position.
GGUAGCUCAGCGGUAGAGCACCGCGCUGAAGACGCGGGGGUCGUUGGUUCAAAUCCAACCC